GUCAGCAGCCGCGGUAAUACCGGCGGCUCGAGUGGUGGCCACUUUAUUGGGCUUAAAGCGUUCGUAGCUGGGUUAUUAAGUCCCUUGGGAAAUCCGACAGCUUAACUGUCGGGCGUCUAAGAGAUACUGGUAAUCUUGGAACCGGGAGAGGUGAGGGGGUACUUCGGGGGUAGGAGUGAAAUCCUGUAAUCCUCGAGGGACCACCUGUGGCGAAGGCGCCUCACCAGAACGGCUUCGACAGUGAGGGACGAAAGCUGGGGGAGCAAACCGGAUUAGAUACCCGGGUAGUCCCAGCCGUAAACGAUGUGCGUUAGGUGUAUCGGUGACCACGAGUCACCGAGGUGCCGAAGGGAAACCGUGAAACGUACCGCCUGGGAAGUACGGUCGCAAGGCUGAAACUUAAAGGAAUUGGCGGGGGAGCACCACAACAGGUGGAGCCUGCCGGUUUAAUUGGACUCAACGCCGGAAAUCUCACCGGAUAAGACAGCAGAAUGAUUGCCGGGCUGAAGACUCUGCAUGACUAGCUGAGUAGAGGUGCAUGG
This 542-nucleotide ribosomal RNA is filed under the name uncultured archaeon. Its description in RNAcentral is "bacterial SSU rRNA". It matches the Rfam family "Archaeal small subunit ribosomal RNA", at positions 457 to 997 of the family's 1478-position model. The record is from RNAcentral.